Molecule: ribosomal RNA, 339 nt
Filed under: uncultured bacterium
Lineage: Bacteria
Also listed under: 1 other name
Description: bacterial SSU rRNA
Rfam family: Bacterial small subunit ribosomal RNA
Source: RNAcentral
CUUAGUGGCGAACGGGUGAGUAACACGUGGGUGACCUGCCCCGAAGUGCGGCAUAACAGGGGGAAACUCCUGCUAAUUCCGCAUGUGCUCACACCUCUUGUGGUGUGAGUAAAGAUUUAUCGCUUCGGGAUGGGCCCGCGGUCCAUCAGCUAGUUGGUAGGGUAAUGGCCUACCAAGGCGACGACGGAUAGCCGGCCUGAGAGGGCGAUCGGCCACAGGGGCACUGAGAUACGGGCCCCACUCCUACGGGAGGCAGCAGUUAGGAAUCUUCCACAAUGGGCGAAAGCCUGAUGGAGCGACACCGCGUGAAGGACGAAGGCCCUAGGGUCGUAAACUUCU